Non-coding RNA from Miniopterus natalensis, 285 nucleotides. Lineage: Eukaryota; Metazoa; Chordata; Mammalia; Chiroptera; Miniopteridae. The record is from RefSeq and is a predicted model, not a curated record.
GAAGAGGAAGGUCUAAUAAAAUUUUGGUGUCCUCAGUAGAUGGACUGAUCUGAAAAUAUCUACUCUACCAUUGUCAGAAACAUAAACCUACCAAGGACUAUUGAAGUAAAGCUGGAUAGAGAUUGUAGAACUACAAAGAAACCUGAACUUGAAGAAAAUUUCAGGCCUAAUUGCCAUGAGUAGAACCUUUAUCACAACAUUGAAUAUAUUUGGUGAAAGCAGACAUCAUUGGCUUCCUAUCAUAUGGGGAUCAAACUUGGAACCAUGAUGGAUUGGGACGACACU